RNAcentral lists this ribosomal RNA (1546 nucleotides) under Salmonella enterica subsp. enterica serovar Enteritidis. RNAcentral describes it as "partial 23S ribosomal RNA". It matches the Rfam family "Bacterial large subunit ribosomal RNA", at positions 1274 to 2803 of the family's 2925-position model. The record is from RNAcentral. Lineage: Bacteria; Pseudomonadati; Pseudomonadota; Gammaproteobacteria; Enterobacterales; Enterobacteriaceae.
UGGAGGUAUCAGAAGUGCGAAUGCUGACAUAAGUAACGAUAAAGCGGGUGAAAAGCCCGCUCGCCGGAAGACCAAGGGUUCCUGUCCAACGUUAAUCGGGGCAGGGUGAGUCGACCCCUAAGGCGAGGCCGAAAGGCGUAGUCGAUGGGAAACGGGUUAAUAUUCCCGUACUUGGUGUUACUGCGAAGGGGGGACGGAGAAGGCUAUGUUGGCCGGGCGACGGUUGUCCCGGUUUAAGCGUGUAGGUGUGUGUUCCAGGUAAAUCCGGUUCACUUUAACACUGAGGCGUGACGACGAGGCACUACGGUGCUGAAGCAACAAAUGCCCUGCUUCCAGGAAAAGCCUCUAAGCAUCAGGUAACAUCAAAUCGUACCCCAAACCGACACAGGUGGUCAGGUAGAGAAUACCAAGGCGCUUGAGAGAACUCGGGUGAAGGAACUAGGCAAAAUGGUGCCGUAACUUCGGGAGAAGGCACGCUGACACGUAGGUGAAGUGAUUUACUCAUGGAGCUGAAGUCAGUCGAAGAUACCAGCUGGCUGCAACUGUUUAUUAAAAACACAGCACUGUGCAAACACGAAAGUGGACGUAUACGGUGUGACGCCUGCCCGGUGCCGGAAGGUUAAUUGAUGGGGUCAGCGCAAGCGAAGCUCCUGAUCGAAGCCCCGGUAAACGGCGGCCGUAACUAUAACGGUCCUAAGGUAGCGAAAUUCCUUGUCGGGUAAGUUCCGACCUGCACGAAUGGCGUAAUGAUGGCCAGGCUGUCUCCACCCGAGACUCAGUGAAAUUGAACUCGCUGUGAAGAUGCAGUGUACCCGCGGCAAGACGGAAAGACCCCGUGAACCUUUACUAUAGCUUGACACUGAACAUUGAGCCUUGAUGUGUAGGAUAGGUGGGAGGCUUUGAAGUGUGGACGCCAGUCUGCAUGGAGCCGACCUUGAAAUACCACCCUUUAAUGUUUGAUGUUCUAACGUGGACCCGUUACCCGGGUUGCGGACAGUGUCUGGUGGGUAGUUUGACUGGGGCGGUCUCCUCCUAAAGAGUAACGGAGGAGCACGAAGGUUGGCUAAUCCUGGUCGGACAUCAGGAGGUUAGUGCAAUGGCAUAAGCCAGCUUGACUGCGAGCGUGACGGCGCGAGCAGGUGCGAAAGCAGGUCAUAGUGAUCCGGUGGUUCUGAAUGGAAGGGCCAUCGCUCAACGGAUAAAAGGUACUCCGGGGAUAACAGGCUGAUACCGCCCAAGAGUUCAUAUCGACGGCGGUGUUUGGCACCUCGAUGUCGGCUCAUCACAUCCUGGGGCUGAAGUAGGUCCCAAGGGUAUGGCUGUUCGCCAUUUAAAGUGGUACGCGAGCUGGGUUUAGAACGUCGUGAGACAGUUCGGUCCCUAUCUGCCGUGGGCGCUGGAGAACUGAGGGGGGCUGCUCCUAGUACGAGAGGACCGGAGUGGACGCAUCACUGGUGUUCGGGUUGUCAUGCCAAUGGCACUGCCCGGUAGCUAAAUGCGGAAGAGAUAAGUGCUGAAAGCAUCUAAGCACGAAACUUGCCCCGAG